UCACAGAUUCUCCAGAAGUCU
Molecule: non-coding RNA, 21 nt
Filed under: Caenorhabditis elegans
Lineage: Eukaryota; Metazoa; Nematoda; Chromadorea; Rhabditida; Rhabditidae
Source: RNAcentral